Molecule: non-coding RNA, 120 nt
Organism: Thermoactinomyces sp. DSM 45891
Lineage: Bacteria; Bacillati; Bacillota; Bacilli; Caryophanales; Thermoactinomycetaceae
Source: Rfam
GAUUGAAAUCGAAUAGAACCGUAGACAGUAGGAGUGCGGGAAGCACUUAAUUUUCCUACCGAGGUGUUUUUAUAAAACCCUUGGCCUUCGACUGUCUACGAAGGCUUUUCUUUUUCCUAC